Molecule: long non-coding RNA, 630 nt
Organism: Neofelis nebulosa (Clouded leopard)
Lineage: Eukaryota; Metazoa; Chordata; Mammalia; Carnivora; Felidae
Exons: 2
Source: RefSeq, a predicted model, not a curated record
AGUGCAUCUGACACAUCGUAGACGUGCAACAGAAGUAGUUUCUCUUUCUCUUCCUCCUCUUUCCCUUUUCUCUUAGUGGAUUAUGUCCAUUUUGCAUCCGGAGCACUUGGGAAAGUUGCUGGCACGCAGCGAGUGCUCGAGGAAUGCUUUUUGAAAGAACGAAGGAGAGAUCUGAUUUCCCCAGCUUGGAGUCUGUCAGAAUCACCGACGGCAUUCUCACUGUGGGACAGAAGUCACUGUGGGGUGUGGUAGACUGUGCCAUGGCCCUGCAAUGACGUCUGUGCCCUGACACCUGCCUGGAACCUAUGGAUAGGUUGUUACAUGACCGAAAGGGACUUGGCAGGCGAUUUGUUACACCAGAAAUAGACAACCAAUACCCAGAGCCUCCAGAGUAUGGACGCUGACCUACCAAGCCCUUUGGCUAAUAUGUACAUUCACCAAGCGUGCCGGAAGUGUCCCCUUCAUCACCAUUUGCAAAUGUCAACUGAGAGCUGGACACCAGGCUAGUGGUUCCCACGUUCCUCUCGUCCCUAAACAUCCAGAGCUCUUACUGUGUGGUCACCCAGCCCCAUAGCCAUUAGGCCUUGGCCCCUAGGGGACCCAUCAGGGUAAAUUAAAACUAAAACAUUU